UACGUAGGGUGCGAGCGUUAAUCGGAAUUACUGGGCGUAAAGCGUGCGCAGGCGGCUUUAUUAGACAGAAGUGAAAUCCCCGGGGUCAACCUGGGAACCGCAUUUGUGACUGUAUAGCUAGAGUGCGGCAGAGGGGGGUGGAAUUCCGCGUGUAGCAGUGAAAUGCGUAGAUAUGCGGAGGAACACCGAUGGCGAAGGCAAUCCCCUGGGCCUGCACUGACGCUCAUGCACGAAAGCGUGGGGAGCAAACAGGAUUAGAUACCCUGGUAGUCCACGCCCUAAACGAUGUCAACUGGUUGUUGGGUCUUCACUGACUCAGUAACGAAGCUAACGCGUGAAGUUGACCGCCUGGGGAGUACGGCCGCAAGGUUG
RNAcentral lists this ribosomal RNA (372 nucleotides) under uncultured prokaryote. Its description in RNAcentral is "bacterial SSU rRNA". It matches the Rfam family "Bacterial small subunit ribosomal RNA", at positions 524 to 896 of the family's 1533-position model. The record is from RNAcentral.